RNAcentral lists this ribosomal RNA (3028 nucleotides) under Salmonella enterica. RNAcentral's name for it is "23S ribosomal RNA". It matches the Rfam family "Bacterial large subunit ribosomal RNA". The record is from RNAcentral. Lineage: Bacteria; Pseudomonadati; Pseudomonadota; Gammaproteobacteria; Enterobacterales; Enterobacteriaceae.
GGGUUGUGAGGUUAAGCGACUAAGCGUACACGGUGGAUGCCCUGGCAGUCAGAGGCGAUGAAGGGCGUGCUAAUCUGCGAUAAGCGCCGGUAAGGUGAUAUGAACCGUUAUAACCGGCGAUACCCGAAUGGGGAAACCCAGUGUGACUCGUCACACUAUCAUUAACUGAAUCCAUAGGUUAAUGAGGCGAACCGGGGGAACUGAAACAUCUAAGUACCCCGAGGAAAAGAAAUCAACCGAGAUUCCCCCAGUAGCGGCGAGCGAACGGGGAGGAGCCCAGAGCCUGAAUCAGCAUGUGUGUUAGUGGAAGCGUCUGGAAAGGCGCGCGAUACAGGGUGACAGCCCCGUACACAAAAGCGCAUGUGCUGUGAGCUCGAUGAGUAGGGCGGGACACGUGGUAUCCUGUCUGAAUAUGGGGGGACCAUCCUCCAAGGCUAAAUACUCCUGACUGACCGAUAGUGAACCAGUACCGUGAGGGAAAGGCGAAAAGAACCCCGGCGAGGGGAGUGAAAAAGAACCUGAAACCGUGUACGUACAAGCAGUGGGAGCCCCACCACUAAGCCAGUGGUGAACUCCACAUACGCAUCCUUUGCUGAGGAUACGGUUAACGGAGCGAAAGCGACGUUCAACCUCAAAAGAAGCAGAGGGGGCUUAGUGGUGGGGUGACUGCGUACCUUUUGUAUAAUGGGUCAGCGACUUAUAUUCUGUAGCAAGGUUAACCGCAUAGGGGAGCCGGAGGGAAACCGAGUCUUAAUUGGGCGUUAAGUUGCAGGGUAUAGACCCGAAACCCGGUGAUCUAGCCAUGGGCAGGUUGAAGGUUGGGUAACACUAACUGGAGGACCGAACCGACUAAUGUUGAAAAAUUAGCGGAUGACCUGUGGCUGGGGGUGAAAGGCCAAUCAAACCGGGAGAUAGCUGGUUCUCCCCGAAAGCUAUUUAGGUAGCGCCUCGUGAAUUCAUCUCCGGGGGUAGAGCACUGUUUCGGCUAGGGGGCCAUCCCGGCUUACCAACCCGAUGCAAACUGCGAAUACCGGAGAAUGUUAUCACGGGAGACACACGGCGGGUGCUAACGUCCGUCGUGAAGAGGGAAACAACCCAGACCGCCAGCUAAGGUCCCAAAGUCAUGGUUAAGUGGGAAACGAUGUGGGAAGGCCCAGACAGCCAGGAUGUUGGCUUAGAAGCAGCCAUCAUUUAAAGAAAGCGUAAUAGCUCACUGGUCGAGUCGGCCUGCGCGGAAGAUGUAACGGGGCUAAACCAUGCACCGAAGCUGCGGCAGCGACGCUGAUGCGUUGUUGGGUAGGGGAGCGUUCUGUAAGCCUGCGAAGGUGGCCUGUGAGGGUUGCUGGAGGUAUCAGAAGUGCGAAUGCUGACAUAAGUAACGAUAAAGCGGGUGAAAAGCCCGCUCGCCGGAAGACCAAGGGUUCCUGUCCAACGUUAAUCGGGGCAGGGUGAGUCGACCCCUAAGGCGAGGCCGAAAGGCGUAGUCGAUGGGAAACGGGUUAAUAUUCCCGUACUUGGUGUUACUGCGAAGGGGGGACGGAGAAGGCUAUGUUGGCCGGGCGACGGUUGUCCCGGUUUAAGCGUGUAGGUGUGUGUUCCAGGUAAAUCCGGUUCACUUUAACACUGAGGCGUGACGACGAGGCACUACGGUGCUGAAGCAACAAAUGCCCUGCUUCCAGGAAAAGCCUCUAAGCAUCAGGUAACAUCAAAUCGUACCCCAAACCGACACAGGUGGUCAGGUAGAGAAUACCAAGGCGCUUGAGAGAACUCGGGUGAAGGAACUAGGCAAAAUGGUGCCGUAACUUCGGGAGAAGGCACGCUGACACGUAGGUGAAGUGAUUUACUCAUGGAGCUGAAGUCAGUCGAAGAUACCAGCUGGCUGCAACUGUUUAUUAAAAACACAGCACUGUGCAAACACGAAAGUGGACGUAUACGGUGUGACGCCUGCCCGGUGCCGGAAGGUUAAUUGAUGGGGUCAGCGCAAGCGAAGCUCCUGAUCGAAGCCCCGGUAAACGGCGGCCGUAACUAUAACGGUCCUAAGGUAGCGAAAUUCCUUGUCGGGUAAGUUCCGACCUGCACGAAUGGCGUAAUGAUGGCCAGGCUGUCUCCACCCGAGACUCAGUGAAAUUGAACUCGCUGUGAAGAUGCAGUGUACCCGCGGCAAGACGGAAAGACCCCGUGAACCUUUACUAUAGCUUGACACUGAACAUUGAGCCUUGAUGUGUAGGAUAGGUGGGAGGCUUUGAAGUGUGGACGCCAGUCUGCAUGGAGCCGACCUUGAAAUACCACCCUUUAAUGUUUGAUGUUCUAACGUGGACCCGUAAUCCGGGUUGCGGACAGUGUCUGGUGGGUAGUUUGACUGGGGCGGUCUCCUCCUAAAGAGUAACGGAGGAGCACGAAGGUUGGCUAAUCCUGGUCGGACAUCAGGAGGUUAGUGCAAUGGCAUAAGCCAGCUUGACUGCGAGCGUGACGGCGCGAGCAGGUGCGAAAGCAGGUCAUAGUGAUCCGGUGGUUCUGAAUGGAAGGGCCAUCGCUCAACGGAUAAAAGGUACUCCGGGGAUAACAGGCUGAUACCGCCCAAGAGUUCAUAUCGACGGCGGUGUUUGGCACCUCGAUGUCGGCUCAUCACAUCCUGGGGCUGAAGUAGGUCCCAAGGGUAUGGCUGUUCGCCAUUUAAAGUGGUACGCGAGCUGGGUUUAGAACGUCGUGAGACAGUUCGGUCCCUAUCUGCCGUGGGCGCUGGAGAACUGAGGGGGGCUGCUCCUAGUACGAGAGGACCGGAGUGGACGCAUCACUGGUGUUCGGGUUGUCAUGCCAAUGGCACUGCCCGGUAGCUAAAUGCGGAAGAGAUAAGUGCUGAAAGCAUCUAAGCACGAAACUUGCCCCGAGAUGAGUUCUCCCUGAGACUUAGAGUCUCCUGAAGGAACGUUGAAGACGACGACGUUGAUAGGCCGGGUGUGUAAGCGCAGCGAUGCGUUGAGCUAACCGGUACUAAUGAACCGUGAGGCUUAACCUUACAACGCCGAAG